GAGGAAUAUUGCACAAUGGGCGCAAGCCUGAUGCAGCGACGCCGCGUGUGGGAUGAAGGGGCUACGCCUCGUAAACCACUGUAGCCCGGGACGAAAAACGCCUUAGAGUCGUUAGACGGUACCGGGAAAGUAAGGGUCGGCUAACUACGUGCCAGCAGCCGCGGUAAUACGUAGGACCCAAGCGUUGUCCGGAUUUACUGGGUGUAAAGGGUGCGCAGGCGGAUGGGUAAGUCAGGGGUGAAAGUCUGCAGCUUAACUGUAGAAUUGCCUUUGAUACUGCUCAUCUUGAGUGUGGGAGAGGUUGAUGGAAUUCCAGGUGUAGCAGUGAAAUGCGUAGAUAUCUGGAAGAACACCAGUGGCGAAGGCGGUCAACUGGCCCAUAACUGACGCUCAUGCACGAAAGCGUGGGGAGCAAACA
This 418-nucleotide ribosomal RNA is filed under the name uncultured bacterium. RNAcentral describes it as "bacterial SSU rRNA". It matches the Rfam family "Bacterial small subunit ribosomal RNA", at positions 356 to 774 of the family's 1533-position model. The record is from RNAcentral.